This 534-nucleotide ribosomal RNA is filed under the name Salyavatinae sp. 00052207. RNAcentral describes it as "partial 16S ribosomal RNA". It matches the Rfam family "Bacterial large subunit ribosomal RNA", at positions 1808 to 2613 of the family's 2925-position model. Lineage: Eukaryota; Metazoa; Arthropoda; Insecta; Hemiptera; Reduviidae. The record is from RNAcentral.
CAAAAACAUGUCUUUUUGAUAGUUUAUUUAAGGUCUAACCUGCCCAAUGAGUAAUUGAAUGGCCGCGGUAUUUUAACUGUGCUAAGGUAGCAUAAUCAUUUGUCUUUUAAUUGAAGGCUGGAAUGAAAGGUUGGACGAGGCAUCAGCUUUCUUUAAUUUAAUAGUAGAAUUUAAUUUUUUAGUUAAAAAGCUAAAAUUUUUUUAGGUGACGAGAAGACCCUAUAGAUCUUAAUAGAAGGAAUAUUUAUUAAUUUAGAUGUUGAAUAUGAUUGAAAUAUAUAAUUUUAUUUAAUUGGGGCGAUUCUAGAAUUUGAGGAACUUCUAGUGUUAAUUUAUCAUUAAUUAAUGAAUUAUUGAUCCAUUUUUAGUGAUUAAAAGAUUAAGUUACCUUAGGGAUAACAGCGUAAUUUUUUCAGAGAGUUCAUAUUAAUGGAAAAGUUUGCGACCUCGAUGUUGGAUUAAAAUAAGUAUUUGGUGUAGCAGCUAAAUUACUAGGUCUGUUCGACCUUUAAAUUUUUACAUGAUCUGAGUUCA